AGCUGGGCGCCCAAAAGUUGGACCCCAAUCAGCAGCGAGUGGGCAGCGGGGGCCUGGCUCGCCCGCGCCCGCGCCCCGGAGCUCUCCGGCUGGCUCUCUGCUCCCCGAAGCUGGGGAGCCGGGGGCGCUCUCCCGGGCCGCAAGCAGGCACGGAAUUUGACGCCCGAGAGGCAGAUGGUCCUGGCUAGGACUCCUGAUUCUUCUCAGAUGGAAACAGUUUCUCCCGGUGAACCUGCCGGAAUUCUCAGUGGACUCGAUCUUCAGCUUUGUCCACUGGCGCAUUUCACCAAGGCCGCAUUUACCGCUUUGAGGCAAAUUUGAGCUUCAAAUGGAGCGGGACUCCUGGUUGCAGAACGAGGGUGUGGGAAUGCGCAUCUGCAAGACCAGAGGAUGCAGAGCUUGCAGGAAGGAGGAAACUCACUAGGUUCAGGUUCAUGAAAUUUUCAGGAAUUAAAGUUAGUCCUGAGGAAAGUUCAUGAA
This 480-nucleotide long non-coding RNA is filed under the name Homo sapiens (human). RNAcentral describes it as "non-protein coding lnc-KCNN2-2:2". Lineage: Eukaryota; Metazoa; Chordata; Mammalia; Primates; Hominidae. The record is from RNAcentral.